CCUACGGGCGGCAGCAGUGAGGAAUAUUGGUCAAUGGUCGGGAGACUGAACCAGCCAAGCCGCGUGAGGGAUGAAGGUACAGAGUAUCGUAAACCUCUUUUGUCAGGGAACAAAGGCGGGGACGUGUCCCCGGAUGAGUGUACCUGAAGAAAAAGCAUCGGCUAACUCCGUGCCAGCAGCCGCGGUAAUACGGAGGAUGCGAGCGUUAUCCGGAUUUAUUGGGUGUAAGGGGGGCGCAGGCGGUCUUGUAAGUCAGAGGUAAAAGCCCGGGGCUCAACCCCGGCCCGCCGUUGAAACUGGCAGUCUCGAGUUGGAGAGAAGUAUGCGGAAUGCGCGGUGUAGCGGUGAAAUGCAUAGAUAUCGCGCAGAACUCCGAUUGCGAAGGCAGCAUGCCGGCUCCACACUGACGCUGAGGCACGAAAGCGUGGGUAUCGAACAGGAUUAGAUACCCGAGUAGUC
Molecule: ribosomal RNA, 459 nt
Filed under: uncultured bacterium
Lineage: Bacteria
Description: partial 16S ribosomal RNA
Rfam family: Bacterial small subunit ribosomal RNA
Source: RNAcentral